RNAcentral lists this long non-coding RNA (1154 nucleotides) under Microcebus murinus (gray mouse lemur). RNAcentral's name for it is "lncRNA (ENSMICG00000048216.1)". The record is from RNAcentral. Lineage: Eukaryota; Metazoa; Chordata; Mammalia; Primates; Cheirogaleidae.
CUCUGCCUGAAGCCAAACGCUGCUGAGCCCAGAGGCCUCUCCACUGCCCCAGCCCUCGUGCUCCGUGAGUGAGAAAGAAGUCUCUGUCCUGAGUCGUCGAGAUACUGGGUUUGCUUGUUUCAAGAGCAAAAUCUGACUGAGUAAUCAGGGUGAUGAUCAGGGGACACUGAGCUGGCUUCAAAGCAGCCCUUGCCCAGGUCAGGGAGGACUGUCCGGUAUGUGGUUUGUGACUCAGGUGGCACUAUUUCUCCUCCCGUUUCUGGGUGUGAGGGGUCAAGUAAUUACACAUGUCAUGCAUCUGUUGGGUGUUUUUUGUUUUUGUUGUUCAAAAUUCAGUUAGAAAAUGAUUGGCUGGGAGUAGAGGAAGAUGAAACUGAAAGUAAAAUUCCCAGCCUUUAAGAGAACACCCUGCAGGCAGGGGACAGAACACCUGACACAGCGGCUGUGGCUUCAGUAUGUCUGGGGUGCUAGCUGGGAUCCUGGCUGGGAGUGUGCUGAUCGCGUGCGCCUUGAUCUGUAUGUUCUGGGACAAUUUACCAUAUGGAACACAAAAGGAAUCGGCGUCCACCCACCAAGAGGACACUGAGUAUCACAGGAGAGACGAGUGGAUGUCAACGAGCAUGCAAGUGGCACCUCGUUUGCAUAGUGACACAAUGAGGUCUCGCGCUCUGUGUAACAGAAGCUAAAGAUUCCAGAGGUGUCUCUCAUGGGGACCAAAAGAAGGCCUAACCUUCUGGACCUCCAGGACCCUGGUUGUCCCUGCCGUGACGACCUAGGGAAAUGUCCCCACCUGAUCACAUAAUCGACUCCACGCUCCAGUGCAGCCUGCGCUCUGCACUCAGCCUGCUGGAUCGCGCUGCUCCUCUAGUCAACGGAAGAUGGGGAUUUGAGAUGGAUUUGAACAGAGAGGCCUGCCUAGGGCACGUGCAUCUGUGAGGGGCACCCAUGCCUGGGGCCUUGGGGGACACCCUCCCUGCGCUCCCCUGCACAUGAGCUCGUGGGUUGGAGGAACAAAUAUCUAGCCGCUUAACCCUAACUCUUCAGUCACUGCUGCAUUUAAUAAACACGAGUGAGCAUUUCAUGUGGUCAAAGCUCUCUCUGGCAGGAGGGGGACAAUGGUGAGGGUGACACAGUCCGUUCCCUCAAGGAAGUCC